RNAcentral lists this long non-coding RNA (842 nucleotides) under Elaeis guineensis (African oil palm). RNAcentral's name for it is "long non-coding RNA (EGUI_LNC007879)". The record is from RNAcentral. Lineage: Eukaryota; Viridiplantae; Streptophyta; Magnoliopsida; Arecales; Arecaceae.
ACUUAGAUUAAAUUUAAAUAUUAAAUCAAAGGAGAUUAGAUAAUUUUGAUUUUCGAUUAACCAAUGUUAUCAAAUUAAAUACCAAAAAUCGAAUUGAUUAAAAAAUUUCGGUUCGGUUUUAAACCAAAACCAAAAUUUUGAAAAGAAAAACCGAAUCAAACACUCAAAUAAUUAACGGUUUGAUUCGAUUUUUGGUUAACCGAAUCAUUUGCACAUCCCUACCGAUGGCAACCCAAGCCAGAGAGGCCGGAUGACCCAAAGAAGAAGAAAACUAAGUCAUCCCAACCUGCUAAGCCUAGUCUACAAGCGACUCAGACGGACUCGAGCCGGGCGGACUCGAGGGUGGGAUUGGAGGGCUGGAUUAAACCUUCUAAAAUUGCACGAUGGUGAUCGCCCACCCACUCCACGCCUAAUCGAAUGACCGAAGUGGAUAGGAUGGGCGCUGAGAUUAGCAUUGCUACCUCCCUGGGCCUUAGCCCACACGCAGUUGGACCUGCAAACCACUUUGGCAUGCUAGGCCAUGACAUGGGUGAGGCCCAAUCGGGAUCCAAUGGUGGUGCGCGGGUGGGAGUCCUUGGGGCGGGCCCUUCCCAGCCCAAGAGAGCCCGGCCCUCUGAUUUUGAUGCGGAUCGGGUCUUUAUAAAACCUAGUGGGUGGAGUUCCAGCCCAGGAGGCCCAAAAAAGGGCCUAUCAUGUCAAGUAAGGCGAAAAGCACGGCUUUGGUCUUCUUAGAGGCCUGUAGGGAGUCGGUGGAGGGCACUGGAGGCUCUAGGGCCUUCAUUUUCUCAGCCAUAACCUCGGGGAAGGAGGAGAGAGCUUUGGUCCAGCCAGAGGUGAUGGUG